AAUAGAUACCCCGGUAGUCCACGCCGUAAACGUUGGGCGCUAGAUGUGGGGGGCCAUUCCACGGUUUCCGCGGUCGUAGCUAACGCAUUAAGCGCCCCGCCUGGGGAGUACGGCCGCAAGGCUAAAACUCAAAGGAAUUGACGGGGGCCCGCACAAGCGGCGGAGCAUGCGGAUUAAUUCGAUGCAACGCGAAGAACCUUACCAAGGCUUGACAUAUACGAGAACACUGCAGAAAUGUAGGACUCUUUGGACACUCGUAUACAGGUGGUGCAUGGUUGUCGUCAGCUCGUGUCGUGAGAUGUUGGGUUAAGUCCCGCAACGAGCGCAACCCUCGUCGCAUGUUGCCAGCACGUAAAGGGUGGGAACUCAUGUGAGACUGCCGGGGUCAACUCGGAGGAAGGUGGGGAUGACGUCAAAUCAUCAUGCCCCUUAUGUCUUGGGCUUCACGCAUGCUACAAUGGCCGGUACAAAGGGCUGCAAUACCGUAAGGUGGAGCGAAUCCCAAAAAGCCGGUCUCAGUUCGGAUUGAGGU
RNAcentral lists this ribosomal RNA (532 nucleotides) under uncultured bacterium. RNAcentral's name for it is "bacterial SSU rRNA". It matches the Rfam family "Bacterial small subunit ribosomal RNA", at positions 777 to 1304 of the family's 1533-position model. The record is from RNAcentral.